Molecule: long non-coding RNA, 986 nt
Filed under: Homo sapiens (human)
Lineage: Eukaryota; Metazoa; Chordata; Mammalia; Primates; Hominidae
Description: long non-coding RNA NONHSAT174415
Source: RNAcentral
CAGACUCGUGAGUGUCCAUCCUGUGCCAGACUCCAUCGCAGGUGCUGGGGAUACCAGGCAGAGGAUGCAGUGUUGCCAGCUAUCAGGAAGACCUGACGGUCAACAAUCGUGCUUCCAAAGCCACCUGCAUAUUAUACUCCCUUGGGGGUCAGCUGUAAUAUACCUGUGCCUAGGCCCCAUCCUAGGCCAAUGGAAUCAGAAUCUCUGGGCCUAGGGCUGGCACACCCAUCUUUUUUAAGCCUCAAGUGCUGUUCAUGGGCAGUCAGGGCUGAGACCCCCUGCUGGAGUAGAAGGAUGGUGCAUAGGUAGCAAAACCACAAAGCAAUGGGCAAAGGCCAAGUCGCAGAUGGCAGUUGCGUAAGCUGGAAGUGGUGACAUUUCUCUUCAGUGCAUAACCACAGCUCAGAAUGAAUAUUUGUAUGGAUCAGGAGGCCAAGUGACCUGGUAUUGAGCAGUAGAUAAACGUUGCAUCUAUUUAUCACCACCCCCAAAAAACCUUUUUAAAAUGGCAAAUACCAUUCAUUAAAUGUUUAUUUUUCCUGCAUGAGGUCAAACAAAUAAUCUCAAUUUUCUGGGUGUUGGGGAUUCAAACAACACCCAAAAUGGGAUGUUGUAUACUAAGUCAAAUAAAGAAUUUUAAUAGAGACAUAAUGUCUUUCCUAACCAGCAGGUAUGAGAGAAGGGAAAAUAAGAGAAUCUGCCUGGUAACCAUCAGGGGGAAUGAAUUAACAUGUUCUCUAAGACUAUGUUAGAAGGUCAGAGCCCAGCACAGUGGUACAUGCUGUAAUCCUAGCACUUUGGGAGGCUGAGGCAGGAGGAUCACUUGAGCCCAGGAGAUCAAGGCUGCAGUGAGACAUGAUCACGCCACUGUACUCCAGCCUGAGCAACAGAGCGAGACCCUUUCUGAAAAAUAAAUAAAAAAUAAAUAAAUAAAAGGUCAGAAUUUCAUGAAGUGGGAUGGUAAAGUUGUUGUGAAAUUCUCUCCC